Molecule: non-coding RNA, 28 nt
Filed under: Rattus norvegicus (Norway rat)
Lineage: Eukaryota; Metazoa; Chordata; Mammalia; Rodentia; Muridae
Source: RNAcentral
UGGAAUGCCAACAGCAGAACCAAUGUGA